RNAcentral lists this ribosomal RNA (422 nucleotides) under Megophrys megacephala. RNAcentral's name for it is "Xenophrys megacephala partial 12S ribosomal RNA". It matches the Rfam family "Bacterial small subunit ribosomal RNA", at positions 903 to 1521 of the family's 1533-position model. Lineage: Eukaryota; Metazoa; Chordata; Amphibia; Anura; Megophryidae. The record is from RNAcentral.
AAGACUUGGCGGUGCCCUAUACCACCUAGAGGAGCCUGUUCUAUAAUCGAUACCCCCCGAUCAACCUCACCAUCUCUUGCCAAGACCGCCUGUAUACCUCCGUCGUCAACUAACCCCUCAAGGGAAAAAGUUGGUUUAAUGGCUUAUCACCAAAAAGUCAGGUCAAGGUGCAGCGAAUGAGAUGGGAAGAAAUGGGCUACAUUUUCUACCAGUAGACAAUACGAAAUAUCACUAUGAAAUCUGAUUUAGAAGGCGGAUUUAGCAGUAAAAAGAGAAUAGAGCGCUCUUUUUAAGUUGGCCCUAGGGCGCGCACACACUGCCCGUCACCCUCUUCGACUCUGUUCCCUUUAUCUAUAAUUGCCUUAGAAGAGAAAAGAAGAGGCAAGUCGUAACAUGGUAAGUCCACCGGAAGGUGGACUUGG